AUCGCUUCUCGGCCUUUUGGCUAAGAUCAAGUGUAAUCUGUUAUAGUCUUGAAAUUUAGGAAUAAAAACUGAAAAUGAAUUUUGGAUUCUGGUUUUCUUUUCCUUCCAGCUUAACCAGGGAGCAGUUCCUGCUUUGUUUGGUUGGGGGCCUAUUCCUUGUGUGAGCAUGGAAAGAAAAGGGCAUCUUAU
Lutra lutra (Eurasian river otter) is the source of this 189-nucleotide small nuclear RNA. RefSeq annotates it as U2 spliceosomal RNA. NCBI's taxonomy places the organism in Eukaryota, Metazoa, Chordata, Mammalia, Carnivora, Mustelidae. The record is from RefSeq and is a predicted model, not a curated record. The transcript has a single exon.